UGGUAAUUUUGAUAAUUUUUUGAAAUCUAAUUCGAAAUUGUCUGACCAGAAUCCAGUCCGACCCGAGUUUGUUAAAGCGUUCCAAUUCGAUCCGAAAAAUUAAUCGGACACUGUUACUAUAUUCUUGUCAAGUUUUCCACUUUAACCUCCCCGAGUUUUUAAACAUUAUGCUGGAACGAAUUCAGAAACGAGCGUUCAAUAUCGUAUAUGGUUACGAUGUACCUCAAUUCUGAAGCGUUGGUAAUGUCGAAACUGCAUAAACUUUCCGAUCAUCGUAGUCCUCUUUGUGAUGAAUUUUUCAACAAAAUUGUAAUGAACCCAAAUGAUAAAGUUAAGGAACAAAAGAAAUUUCACUAUACCUAUAUGUAAAACGGAC
Paramuricea clavata is the source of this 376-nucleotide non-coding RNA. Lineage: Eukaryota; Metazoa; Cnidaria; Anthozoa; Malacalcyonacea; Plexauridae. The record is from the annotation of a GenBank genome assembly.